RNAcentral lists this transfer RNA (73 nucleotides) under Tursiops truncatus (common bottlenose dolphin). RNAcentral's name for it is "tRNA-Sup (TCA) (tRNA-Sup-TCA-13-1)". It matches the Rfam family "tRNA". Rfam says of the family: Transfer RNA (tRNA) molecules are approximately 80 nucleotides in length. Their secondary structure includes four short double-helical elements and three loops (D, anti-codon, and T loops). Further hydrogen bonds mediate the characteristic L-shaped molecular structure. tRNAs have two regions of fundamental functional importance: the anti-codon, which is responsible for specific mRNA codon recognition, and the 3' end, to which the tRNAs corresponding amino acid is attached (by aminoacyl-tRNA synthetases). tRNAs cope with the degeneracy of the genetic code in two manners: having more than one tRNA (with a specific anti-codon) for a particular amino acid; and 'wobble' base-pairing, i.e. permitting non-standard base-pairing at the 3rd anti-codon position. Lineage: Eukaryota; Metazoa; Chordata; Mammalia; Artiodactyla; Delphinidae. The record is from Rfam by way of RNAcentral. RNAcentral also lists the same sequence under 2 other names.
UCCCUGGCGGUCCAGUGGUUAAGACUCUGCGCUUCAGCUGCAGGGGGCACAGGUUCGAUCCCUGGUCAGGGAA